AGCGAACGCUGGCGGCGUGGAUAAGGCAUGCAAGUCGAGCGAUCUCCGCAAGGAGAUAGCGGCAAACGGGUGCGUAACGCGUAGGGAACCUGCCCUGAAGUGGAGGACAACCUGGCGAAAGCCAGGCUAAUACUCCAUGUGUCCUGGACCUCGCAUGAGGACCAGGGGAAAAGUGGCCUCGACCGCAAGGUUGCUACUGCUUCAGGAGGGUCCUGCGUCCCAUCAGCUAGUUGGUAGGGUAACGGCCUACCAAGGCAUUUGACGGGUAGCUAACUUCAGAGAGUGGUUAGCCACACUGGGACUGAGACACUGCCCAGACUCCUACGGGAGGCUGCAGUCGAGAAUCUUUGGCAAUGGGCGAAAGCCUGACCAUGCGACGCCGCGUGCGGGAUGAAGGCCCUCGGGUCGUAAACCGCCGUUACGGGGGACGAAGUGCUUUUGAACUAAUAGGGCGAAAGCAUUGACGGUACCCCGAGAGAAAGCCACGGCUAACUCCGUGCC
RNAcentral lists this ribosomal RNA (501 nucleotides) under uncultured bacterium. Its description in RNAcentral is "bacterial SSU rRNA". It matches the Rfam family "Bacterial small subunit ribosomal RNA", at positions 29 to 509 of the family's 1533-position model. The record is from RNAcentral.